This 880-nucleotide ribosomal RNA is filed under the name Cristataspora coffeata. Its description in RNAcentral is "partial large subunit ribosomal RNA". It matches the Rfam family "Eukaryotic large subunit ribosomal RNA", at positions 81 to 948 of the family's 3401-position model. The record is from RNAcentral. Lineage: Eukaryota; Fungi; Basidiomycota; Agaricomycetes; Polyporales; Polyporaceae.
UAGUAACUGCGAGUGAAGCGGGAAAAGCUCAAAUUUAAAAUCUGGCGGUCUUUGGCCGUCCGAGUUGUAGUCUGGAGAAGUGCUUUCCGCGCUGGACCGUGUAUAAGUCUCUUGGAACAGAGCGUCAUAGAGGGUGAGAAUCCCGUCUUUGACACGGACUACCAGUGCUUUGUGAUGCGCUCUCAAAGAGUCGAGUUGUUUGGGAAUGCAGCUCAAAAUGGGUGGUGAAUUCCAUCUAAAGCUAAAUAUUGGCGAGAGACCGAUAGCGAACAAGUACCGUGAGGGAAAGAUGAAAAGCACUUUGGAAAGAGAGUUAAACAGUACGUGAAAUUGCUGAAAGGGAAACGCUUGAAGUCAGUCGCGUUGUUCGGAACUCAGCCUUGCUUUUGCUUGGUGCAUUUUCCGGAUGACGGGUCAGCAUCGAUUUUGACCGUCGGAAAAGGGCUGGAGUAAUGUGGCACCUCCGGGUGUGUUAUAGACUUCAGUCGCAUACGGCGGUCGGGAUCGAGGAACGCAGCGCGCCGUAAGGCAGGGGUUCGCCCACUUUCGCGCUUAGGAUGCUGGCAUAAUGGCUUUAAACGACCCGUCUUGAAACACGGACCAAGGAGUCUAACAUACCUGCGAGUGUUUGGGUGGCAAACCCGAGCGCGUAAUGAAAGUGAAAGUUGAGACCUCUGUCGAGGAGGGCAUCGACGCCCGGACCUGACGUUCUCUGACGGAUCCNCGGUAGAGCAUGUAUGUUGGGACCCGAAAGAUGGUGAACUAUGCCUGAAUAGGGUGAAGCCAGAGGAAACUCUGGUGGAGGCUCGUAGCGAUUCUGACGUGCAAAUCGAUCGUCAAAUUUGGGUAUAGGGGCGAAAGACUAAUCGAACCAUCUAGU